This 286-nucleotide long non-coding RNA is filed under the name Nicotiana benthamiana. RNAcentral describes it as "long non-coding RNA (NBEN_LNC025906)". The record is from RNAcentral. Lineage: Eukaryota; Viridiplantae; Streptophyta; Magnoliopsida; Solanales; Solanaceae.
CCUCAUGAACCCUAAUGAGCGCCGCCCUAAAAUCCACCAGACACCUCCCUUCUUAUCCUCUUUCCAUUUCCAAGCUUAAAUUCUCACAAAACCCAGUCAAUCCCUUCAAAUUUUAAAUCUGAAAAUCCGCCAAAACCUUAAAAUCAUUCAAACUCGUUCAAAUGCAUACCAUACCUUUUCCUGACCUCCCUCACCCCUAAUCCCUAACCAAGAUCCCUCGAAUCCAAGUGGAAUUGAGCGAAUUUCAAAUCUGAGGUUCAUGAAUGUUGGGUCUGUUUUGAGGCUG